This 578-nucleotide ribosomal RNA is filed under the name Streptomyces sp. I14A-01124. Its description in RNAcentral is "bacterial SSU rRNA". It matches the Rfam family "Bacterial small subunit ribosomal RNA", at positions 95 to 687 of the family's 1533-position model. Lineage: Bacteria; Bacillati; Actinomycetota; Actinomycetes; Kitasatosporales; Streptomycetaceae. The record is from RNAcentral.
GUGGCGAACGGGUGAGUAACACGUGGGCAAUCUGCCCUGCACUCUGGGACAAGCCCUGGAAACGGGGUCUAAUACCGGAUAUGACCGUCUGCCGCAUGGUGGAUGGUGUAAAGCUCCGGCGGUGCAGGAUGAGCCCGCGGCCUAUCAGCUUGUUGGUGAGGUAGUGGCUCACCAAGGCGACGACGGGUAGCCGGCCUGAGAGGGCGACCGGCCACACUGGGACUGAGACACGGCCCAGACUCCUACGGGAGGCAGCAGUGGGGAAUAUUGCACAAUGGGCGAAAGCCUGAUGCAGCGACGCCGCGUGAGGGAUGACGGCCUUCGGGUUGUAAACCUCUUUCAGCAGGGAAGAAGCGAAAGUGACGGUACCUGCAGAAGAAGCGCCGGCUAACUACGUGCCAGCAGCCGCGGUAAUACGUAGGGCGCAAGCGUUGUCCGGAAUUAUUGGGCGUAAAGAGCUCGUAGGCGGCUUGUCACGUCGGUUGUGAAAGCCCGGGGCUUAACCCCGGGUCUGCAGUCGAUACGGGCAGGCUAGAGUUCGGUAGGGGAGAUCGGAAUUCCUGGUGUAGCGGUGAAAU